GACGAACGCUGGCGGCGUGCCUAAUACAUGCAAGUCGAACGAAGCUGUUUUAACUGGUGCUUGCACCGACUUAAACAACUGAGUGGCGAACGGGUGAGUAACACGUGGGUAACCUGCCCCAAAGCGGGGGAUAACAUUUGGAAACAGAUGCUAAUACCGCAUAACCACAGAAACCACAUGGUUUCUGUGUCAAAGAUGGUUUCGGCUAUCACUUUGGGAUGGACCCGCGGCGUAUUAGCUAGUUGGUAAGGUAAUGGCUUACCAAGGCAAUGAUACGUAGCCGGACUGAGAGGUUGAUCGGCCACAUUGGGACUGAGACACGGCCCAAACUCCUACGGGAGGCAGCAGUAGGGAAUCUUCCACAAUGGACGAAAGUCUGAUGGAGCAACGCCGCGUGAGUGAAGAAGGUUUUCGGAUCGUAAAACUCUGGUGUCAGAGAAGAACAGCUAGAAUAGGGAAUGAUUUUAGUUUGACGGUACCAUACCAGAAAGGGACGGCUAAAUACGUGCCAGCCGCCGCCGUAA
RNAcentral lists this ribosomal RNA (524 nucleotides) under uncultured bacterium. RNAcentral's name for it is "partial 16S ribosomal RNA". It matches the Rfam family "Bacterial small subunit ribosomal RNA", at positions 28 to 523 of the family's 1533-position model. The record is from RNAcentral.